Long non-coding RNA from Cyprinus carpio carpio, 726 nucleotides. The record is from Ensembl. Lineage: Eukaryota; Metazoa; Chordata; Actinopteri; Cypriniformes; Cyprinidae.
AAAUGUUCACCAGGGUACAGGAAGCUGCCAUUGUAAACUUGGUUUUGGAAAAUAAUGAAAUCAGAUUACGAGAAAUUCAAAGCCACAUCAUCCAAGACAACACCUUAUUCAACAACAUUCAACGAGUCAGUCUGUCCACAUUGGCUCGCAUUCUCAAGCGAAACCAAAUCAGAAUGAAACAACUUUAUAAGGUGCCGUUUGAGAGAAACUCUCAAAGAAACAAAGAGUUCAGACGAGCAUAUGUGGAUGGAGUACUGGAAAUGGAUGCUCAUGCAAUCCCACAUGAGUUCAUCUUUACAGAUGAGGCUGGGUUCAACCUAGCAAAGACCAGAAGAAGGGGGAGAAACGUCAUUGGCCACAGAGCCAUUAUAGAUGUUCCUGGCCAAUGUGGUGGGAACAUCACAAUGUGUGCUGCCAUCUCCAGUAUGCAUGGUGUCCUCCACUGUCAUGCCAACCUUGGACGAUACAACACAGCCCAUAUUCUCACAUUUCUGGACAGACUUCACAACCUUCUCAUACCACCAGAGCGUAUGAAUGAUGCAGACCUUCAAAGAAGCCGGUACGUUGUAGUAUGGGACAACGUGAGCUUUCAUCGUGCAGCCCCAGUCCAAAACUGGUUUGCUGACCACCCAACAUUUCUCGUGCAAUACCUCCCACCAUACUCACCAUUUCUGAACCCCAUAGAAGAGUUAUUUUCGGCAUGGCGGUGGAAGGUAUACGACCAGC